Molecule: long non-coding RNA, 641 nt
Organism: Pseudopipra pipra
Lineage: Eukaryota; Metazoa; Chordata; Aves; Passeriformes; Pipridae
Exons: 2
Source: RefSeq, a predicted model, not a curated record
GAGAUGUGAAACACAGACCGAGGUGACCCAGUGAAGUGACACAGGCUGAGGCGCAGGACCCUCGUGGAGAAGCCAAAUCCAGCCCUGUUGUCCCGUUCCCGUGGUGUUCACAUGCCCAGUGUCAUGCCCAGUGUCAUCUGGGAUGCGAACAGGGCACGGCUCAACCCCAGCCCGGCUCUAGAAGGGUUUCAGAUGUGCCAGGCUCUUCUGAAAGCAAAGUGUUUUGUGAGCAGAGCAGUGAAGUGCUGUAAGUACAGACCAAUCUCCAGCUAAUGGGAACAUUUACAAGUGUCCAGACACUCUGCAUCCACAACAAAAAUGAAGUGUCAUUUUGAACUCUCCCCAGUAUCCAUUACAGAUGCUCAUUAAGCAUAUAUAAAAACACUGAAAGGAGUUGUUAUAAAAAGAACAGUUCUCAAAUUCAAAGGUGAAAAUGAACAGUUACCACCCUUUACUCUCCUUUCUGUGACUUAGGAGAACAAUCCUAGUUACACCAGGAUGCAAAGAAAACAAGUGCAAGAGGAAGAACUAGCAUAUUAUUUUUCCUGAUUUCUUAAUUUUUUCUCAACUGUUUUCUCCCAUAAUUACCUUGUCCUUGACUUCUCUCCCAGGGUAAUAAAAUCUCACUUUAUAUGCACAAA